Molecule: ribosomal RNA, 1578 nt
Filed under: Cyclopsitta melanogenia
Lineage: Eukaryota; Metazoa; Chordata; Aves; Psittaciformes; Psittacidae
Description: 16S ribosomal RNA
Rfam family: Bacterial large subunit ribosomal RNA
Source: RNAcentral
AGCCUAUCCUAGCUCCACCAACCACAAUCAACAAACCCACUAAAUCCACCCAACUAAAACAUUACCCCUAAACUUAGUAUAGGUGAUAGAAAAGUUAACCCGGACGCCAUAGAAAAAGUACCGUAAGGGAAAGGUGAAAUAACAGUGAAAACCACAGCACUACACAGCAAAGAUGAACCCUUGUACCUCUUGCAUCAUGAUCUAGCAAGAACACUCAGACAAAGAGAACUUAAGCCUGCCACCCCGAAACCCAAGCGAGCUACUCACAAGCAGCUACCCCGAGCUAACCCGUCUCUGUCGCAAAAGAGUGGGAUGACUUGUUAGUAGAGGUGAAAAGCCAACCGAGCUGGGUGAUAGCUGGUUGCCUGCAAGAUGAAUUUAAGUUCCCCCUUAGUCUCUUUCCCCAAGACAACUUAACCCACCUCCCCUGUAACAGACUAAGAGCUACCUAAAGGAGGUACAGCCCCUUUAACAAAGGAUACAACCUUCACUAGCGGAUAACCCCACCCCACCUCACACCCGUGGGCCCUAAAGCAGCCACCCCUAAAGAGUGCGUCAAAGCUCCAAACUCAAAAAUCCAAAAACAACGCGACUCCCUACAUCCAUAGCAAGCCAACCUAUCACUAUAGAUGAACCAAUGCUAGAACGAGUAACCAGGAUAUCACAUCCCCUCAAGCGCCAGCCUGCACACCAUUAACAGCACAAGCCACAAUAUCACCCCCCCCUACCCCGACAAACAUUGAACUACACCCUGUCAACCCAACUCAGGAGCGCAUAAAUAGGACGAUUUAAAUCUGCAAAAGGAACUCGGCAAACCCAAGGCCCGACUGUUUACCAAAAACAUAGCCUUCAGCCAAACAAGUAUUGAAGGUGAUGCCUGCCCAGUGACACCCAGUUCAACGGCCGCGGUAUCCUAACCGUGCAAAGGUAGCGCAAUCAAUUGUCCCAUAAAUCGAGACUUGUAUGAACGGCUAAACGAGGCCUUAACUGUCUCCUGCAGACAAUCAGUGAAACUGAUCUCCUCGUGCAAAAGCGAGAAUGAACACACAAGACGAGAAGACCCUGUGGAACUUUAAAAUCAAUAGCCACCACACACUCAACACCAAACCUACUGGCCCACUACUGAAAACACUGGCUAAUAUUUUUAGGUUGGGGCGACCCUGGAGAAAAACAAAUCCUCCAAAGCCAAGGCCAUAACCCUUAACCAAGAACCACCCCUCAACGUACUAACAGUAUACAGACCCAAUAAAAUUGAUCAAUGAACCAAGCUACCCCAGGGAUAACAGCGCAAUCUCCCCCAAGAGCCCCUAUCGACGAGGAGGUUUACGACCUCGAUGUUGGAUCAGGACAUCCUAGUGGUGCAACCGCUACUAAGGGCUCGUUUGUUCAACGAUUAACAGUCCUACGUGAUCUGAGUUCAGACCGGAGUAAUCCAGGUCGGUUUCUAUCUAUGACUAACCUUCCCUAGUACGAAAGGACCGGAAAGGUAGGGCCAAUACCUCAAGCACGCCCUCUCCCCAAGUGAUGCCCUCAACUAAAUCACCAAAGGAUCACACCCCACACCCACAGAAAAUGGUC